AUCCAGCUGACGAGUCCCAAAUAGGACGAAAUCCAAACAAUAUCGAGGCAGUCCGCUCAGGAU
Molecule: non-coding RNA, 63 nt
Filed under: Schistosoma margrebowiei
Lineage: Eukaryota; Metazoa; Platyhelminthes; Trematoda; Strigeidida; Schistosomatidae
Source: RNAcentral